Molecule: ribosomal RNA, 433 nt
Filed under: uncultured bacterium
Lineage: Bacteria
Description: partial 16S ribosomal RNA
Rfam family: Bacterial small subunit ribosomal RNA
Source: RNAcentral
AACGAACGCUGGCGGCAUGCCUAACACAUGCAAGUCGAACGAUACCUCCGGGUCUAGUUGCGCACGGGUGCGUAACGCGUGGGAACGUGCCCUUAAGGUCGGAAUACCUCCCCGUAAGGGGUGCUAACACCGGGUAAUUUCUUCUGACCCGAGAUUUAUCGCCUUUGUAUGGGCCCGCGUUGGAUUAGCUUGUUGGUAGGGUAAGAGCCUAGCUAGGGGCCGAUCCAUAGCUGGGCUGGGAGGAUGCUCAGCCACACUGGGACUGGGACACGGCCCAGAAUACUACGGGAGGCAGCAGUGGGGAAUAUUGGACAAUGGGCGAAAGGCUGAUGGAGCCCUGCCGGGUGAGUGAUGAAGGCGUUAGGGUAGUAAAGCUGUUUUAUCCGGGAGGAUAAUGACGGUACCGGGAGAAUAAGCUCCGGCUAACUCCGUG